RNAcentral lists this unclassified non-coding RNA (417 nucleotides) under uncultured Sebacina. Its description in RNAcentral is "sequence contains ITS2". The stretch from base 1 to 154 matches the Rfam family "5.8S ribosomal RNA". Lineage: Eukaryota; Fungi; Basidiomycota; Agaricomycetes; Sebacinales; Sebacinaceae. The record is from RNAcentral.
AACUUUUGGCAAUGGAUCUCUUGGCUCUUGCAUCGAUGAAGAACGCAGCAGAAUGCGAUAAGUAAUGUGAAUUGCAGAAUUCAGUGAAUCAUCGAAUCUUUGAAUGCACCUUGCACCCUUUGGCAUUCCGAAGGGUAUGCUCGUUUGAGUGUCAUUGUACUCUCACACUCCUGAUGCUUUUGGAUUGGGAGUGGUGGACUUGGGUGUUGCUGCUUUACUGUGGCUCACCUCAAAUGGAGUAGUGCAACUCUUGGUUGGACAUAGUAUGGCGUGAUAAGUGUCUUCGCCGGCGCCUCAUUAGAGGGUGGCUGAUCGGGAGCUCUGUGCUUCAAACCGUCUUCGGACAACGACUGACAACUUGACCUCAAAUCGAGUAGGACCACCCGCUGAACUUAAGCAUAUCAAUAAGCGGAGGCU